RNAcentral lists this ribosomal RNA (460 nucleotides) under uncultured bacterium. RNAcentral's name for it is "partial 16S ribosomal RNA". It matches the Rfam family "Bacterial small subunit ribosomal RNA", at positions 338 to 795 of the family's 1533-position model. The record is from RNAcentral.
CUUACGGGAGGCAGCAGUGAGGAAUAUUGGUCAAUGGCCGGCAGUCUGAACCAGCCAUGCCGCGUGAAGGUCAGUGCCCUAUUGGCGUUAAACUUCUUUUUUUCAGGAACAAUAAUGCUCCCGUUUUGCCAUCCUACAUUUCCUUUCUGAUCAACAUCGGCUCACUCCGUUCCCGCCGCCGCGGUAAUACGGGGGAUGCAAGCGUUUUCCGGAUUUAUUGGGUUUAAAGGGUGCGUAGGCUGUGAGGUAAGUCAGCGGGGAAAUGCCCACGCUCAAAGGGGUGAAGUGCCAUUGAUACUGGCAGGCUGGAAUGCGGAUGCCGUGGGAGGAAUGUGUGGUGUAGCGGUGAAAUGCAUAGAUAUCACACAGAACACCGAUUGCGAAGGCAUCUUACGAAGCCGCGAUUGACGCUGAUGCACGAAAGCGUGGGUAUCAAACAGGAUUAGAUACCCUAGUAGUC